Long non-coding RNA from Grus americana (Whooping crane), 857 nucleotides. RefSeq lists it as uncharacterized. NCBI's taxonomy places the organism in Eukaryota, Metazoa, Chordata, Aves, Gruiformes, Gruidae. The transcript is spliced from 2 exons. The record is from RefSeq and is a predicted model, not a curated record.
UCCUAAGCCGCAACACUCCUCCCUGCUCAGCCUUGUGGGGAGGGAGGUUGCUUGCACCCCAUAUUUUGGUGCCCAACCUCCCAUCUGGAUGUUUUAGUCAUAAGCAGAGAAGAGGAGCAGAAAAAACACUGUGGCUUGCACCUUGGGCUGGCUUCUGGGAUGUAUCUGGUUUUAUACGGUGGCAGAAAAAGCCAUUUAGAAAUUCCCAUUUAAGAAGCCUGGUCCAAAUGCCUACAAAUCCUGCUGUGAAUCCAUUUUUCCUGCCAGGAGGAGAUGUUUAAUAAGCAGCUACUGCGCAGAGAAGCCGUUCUGGCCAAGGAUAACUCGGCCAAGGAUAAAUGUGUUUAUGACUCUGCAAAGUUCUUUUUUUUUUUUUUUUUUUAAUAUAUAUUUAGGAGUUUGAAAAUCAGAUAUAACUUCUGAUCUCGUGUCACUAGCUUGUUUUCAGUUGAAUGUUUUUGACUGCGCCCGAUUUAUAUUUACUUGUUUGUAUUAUAAAAACCCAGGUCUUUCACAUAAAAAUGACUGGGCAGGAUAAAAGAAUAAAGAAAAAUUGGGCAUUGCCAAUAUUAGGUCAGCAACUGAGAUUUUUCUGGAAAGACAAAUUUUUUUUAAUCCAUUUACAGAAAUUUUACAAAACCAUGAAGACUGUUUACUGCAAUGCCUGAAAUACCUGCAUUUCUGCUCUGCUCUCUGUCCCUUGAAUAUUUUAAUGCUUUCAAGAUAUGCAGGCACUGUUUAUUGAAAGAAUAACUGUAGUCGUCUUGUAUAAAAUAGAAUUUAGAAUACAUAGAAUAGAAAUAUAGAAAAAAAAAAUAAUGGAUGAUUGCAACAUGUAAUUUUUGAUGUCUCUUACA